GAUGAACGCUGGCGGCGUGCCUAAUACAUGCAAGUCGAGCGAACGGACGAGAAGCUUGCUUUUCUGAUGUUAGCGGCGGACGGGUGAGUAACACGUGGAUAACCUACCUAUAAGACUGGGAUAACUUCGGGAAACCGGAGCUAAUACCGGAUAAUAUUUUGAACCGCAUGGUUCAAAAGUGAAAGACGGUCUUGCUGUCACUUAUAGAUGGAUCCGGGCUGCGUUAGCUAGUUGGUAAGGUAACGGCUUACCAAGGCAAGGAUGCAUAGCCGACGUGAGAGGGUGGUAGCCCACACUGGAACGGAGCCACGGUCCAGGCUCCUACGGGAGGCAGCAGUAGCGUAUCUUCCGCAGUGGGCGGAAGCCUGACGGAGCAACGCCACGUGAGUUGUGACGGUCUUCCGAUCGUAAAACUCUGUUAUUAGGGAAGAACAUAUGUGUAAGUAGCUGUGCACAUCUUGACGGUACCUAGUCAGAAAGCCACGGCUAACUACGUG
This 497-nucleotide ribosomal RNA is filed under the name uncultured bacterium. Its description in RNAcentral is "partial 16S ribosomal RNA". It matches the Rfam family "Bacterial small subunit ribosomal RNA", at positions 28 to 507 of the family's 1533-position model. The record is from RNAcentral.